GAUACAGGGUGACAGCCCCGUACACAAAAAUGCACAUAUUGUGAGCUCGAUGAGUAGGGCGGGACACGUGGUAUCCUGUCUGAAUAUGGGGGGACCAUCCUCCAAGGCUAAAUACUCCUGACUGACCGAUAGUGAACCAGUACCGUGAGGGAAAGGCGAAAAGAACCCCGGCGAGGGGAGUGAAAAAGAACCUGAAACCGUGUACGUACAAGCAGUGGGAGCACGCUUAGGCGUGUGACUGCGUACCUUUUGUAUAAUGGGUCAGCGACUUAUAUUCUGUAGCAAGGUUAACCGAAUAGGGGAGCCGAAGGGAAACCGAGUCUUAACUGGGCGUUAAGUUGCAGGGUAUAGACCCGAAACCCGGUGAUCUAGCCAUGGGCAGGUUGAAGGUUGGGUAACACUAACUGGAGGACCGAACCGACUAAUGUUGAAAAAUUAGCGGAUGACUUGUGGCUGGGGGUGAAAGGCCAA
This 471-nucleotide ribosomal RNA is filed under the name Escherichia coli. RNAcentral's name for it is "partial 23S ribosomal RNA". It matches the Rfam family "Bacterial large subunit ribosomal RNA", at positions 354 to 832 of the family's 2925-position model. The record is from RNAcentral. Lineage: Bacteria; Pseudomonadati; Pseudomonadota; Gammaproteobacteria; Enterobacterales; Enterobacteriaceae.